CCUACGGGAGGCAGCAGUGAGGAAUAUUGGUCAAUGGACGGAAGUCUGAACCAGCCAUGCCGCGUGCAGGAAGACGGCUCUAUGAGUUGUAAACUGCUUUUGUCCAAGGGUAAACCUGAAUACGUGUAUUCAGCUGAAAGUACUGUACGAAUAAGGAUCGGCUAACUCCGUGCCAGCAGCCGCGGUAAUACGGAGGAUCCAAGCGUUCCCCGGUUUUAUUGGGUUAAAGGGUGCGUAGGCGGAUGGAUAAGUUAGAGGUGAAAAGUCCGAGCUUAACUCGGGAACCGCCUUUAAUACUGGUGGUCUAGAGAGUAGAUGAGGUAGGCGGAAUGUAUGGUGUAGCGGUGAAAUGCUUAGAGAUCAUACAGAACACCGAUUGCGAAGGCAGCUUACCAAGCUACUUCUGACGUUGAGGCACGAAAGCGUGGGGAGCAAACAGGAUUAGAUACCCUUGUAGUC
This 459-nucleotide ribosomal RNA is filed under the name uncultured bacterium. RNAcentral describes it as "partial 16S ribosomal RNA". It matches the Rfam family "Bacterial small subunit ribosomal RNA", at positions 338 to 795 of the family's 1533-position model. The record is from RNAcentral.